Gossypium raimondii (Peruvian cotton) is the source of this 1054-nucleotide long non-coding RNA. RefSeq lists it as uncharacterized. The transcript is spliced from 2 exons. NCBI's taxonomy places the organism in Eukaryota, Viridiplantae, Streptophyta, Magnoliopsida, Malvales, Malvaceae. The record is from RefSeq and is a predicted model, not a curated record.
UUUUAUUUAUUUUCACUCUCUGAUUGUUGUUCCUUACCUUUUCCCUCACUUUUUUUUCUCUCCAUUUUUUUUAUUCUUUCACCAUUGUUGUCGCCACUCACUACAUCUCUUUGCUCACUUUUUUUUCUUUUUUGUUGUGCCGCUUAUUGCUCUUCCAUUUUUACCAUUAUUGUCACCUUUUUUUUAAUUAUUUUUCCCAAUUUUAGCCGCCUGUUUACUACUGUUUUCCAACCUUUUGCUGCUAUUUUUCUUCAGCCAUUUUGUUGCUACGAUUUUCUUCUCUUUGUCGCCCAUUGUAGCCUUUUCCACUCUCUUUUUGUUGUUAAUUUUUUUCAUUGUUGUUUUCUUCCCUUAUUUUUUUGGUUGUUAAAAUGAACCCCUAAUCUUGUCGUUUAAGUGUGCAUCUGAUCUCAUCUAGUUUUCUAUCUUGGAUCUAGAAUUUGGAAGAGCAUAAGUGUUGAUUUUUGUCAAGAUCUUGUGUUGUAUUUUCCUUUGAUAUUUCUUUGUUUUGGCUGAAUGUAUCUAAGGCCAUACGAUUUUUUUUCCUUUGCUAGUUUUUGAUGCUAUUAUGUCUUAGGAACCAAUUUAAACACCCCAAAUCAACAUUGACAACAGAAUUAGUUCCCAUCUUCGUUUUAUAACAAAUUAAUGAAUGACAUUAUGCAUUGCAUCAGGAUUGGGUUGAUUCGAGACAAAGCAGACUUGUAGAGUUCUAGCGGUAUAUUCACGAUUUAUUGGAGUUUUGGCAGUAAAUCUGCAAAUUUGGAGUUUUGUUCAAAUUUCUGGCAGUUUGUCCACAUAUUGUUCUAGCGAUUCAUCUACAACACUGUUCUGGUGGUUUAAUCACAAAAUUUGACUGGCAGUAUAACAGUAAUUGUUUUCCGUUACUAGUGGUUUAACCACAAUGAGCUAAGGCUCCUUCUGACAUGAUGUGUAUGGUUGGAUAUGGUGUGUAGUGGAUGGAUGUUUAGGAAAAUUACAUUGAAAUUCUUGUACAAUUAUGGGAUAUGGUAUACUCUGAUAAUAAGGUAAUUGGUGAUAUUUUUGUUUCUAA